GGUGCACCCCGGCCGAGAACUGAAGUGAGGGGCCGUGAACGCAGCCGUGAGGGCCUCCGGCCCCCACCCCGCACCCUCUCCAGGGUCUGUGAAGCUGGGGCUUUCCAGGCACUCAAAUCGCGCCCCGAUCCGGGAGGCCAGGAGGAAGCUCUGGGGCCCGCAGGGCGGGGUGAAUUCCCCAGUUCCCUCUCUGCUGGGCCCUCCUGGCCUUUGUCUGCAGGGGCAGCUGCAGGGGCGGCACCAGCCGGGCUCCCUGGGGAGGCAUGGGGGUGAACUGGGGCUCUGCUGUGCCGGCCCCUCUUCACCAGUCGCAUUAGGGGGACUCGGUGGACGCAGGCAGCUGGUCUCCACCUCGGGGGUGGCUAGGUCCAGCCCACCACCCUUCACACAUCAGGAGGCCCAAGGUCAAGAGGGCUGCCUGUGUCCAGCACAGAGGACAGAGCCUUGGCCUUGCACCUUAGCCCUGGCCCAAGACCCAAUGUACCCAGGCCAAUGUAGAGUCUCCCCUCUGCUCCCCCCCAGUGGACGGUACUGCCCAGGAGGACCACAGUCAUGACCUGGACAGGCCCCUCGGUCCUCCUGACUGUCCUGCUGCAUGACUGGGCUUCUAGCCCCUUUUGGGGGGCGAUGCUCACAGGCUGGGCCAGAGUCCACAGUGGGCCCAUCCCACGGCCCUCCGGGGCUCUGCCUGAGCUCUGGGGACAGCCAGGGAGAUGGGGGGUUUGGGCAGAGGGGGGCCAGCUGCUCUGGCAGGUGUGGAGAUGGGACCUGGCGCUACGCCUGUCCUGUCCCCCGCAACGGCGCUGUACCACAAGGCAGGUCAAGGCCCCUCUCGUGAAGACCUGUGCUGCCCAGCAGGCGGUCUCCUGGCCCACCCAUCUGAGGGUGGCCCUGAUGCCAAGCCCAGGUUGGCUCGCCUGACACCUCCUGACAGUGGCCUGUGCACACACGGCCCCAACUAG
RNAcentral lists this long non-coding RNA (962 nucleotides) under Marmota monax (woodchuck). The record is from RNAcentral. Lineage: Eukaryota; Metazoa; Chordata; Mammalia; Rodentia; Sciuridae.